RNAcentral lists this ribosomal RNA (397 nucleotides) under uncultured bacterium. RNAcentral describes it as "partial 16S ribosomal RNA". It matches the Rfam family "Bacterial small subunit ribosomal RNA", at positions 524 to 918 of the family's 1533-position model. The record is from RNAcentral.
UACGUAGGGAGCGAGCGUUGUCCGGAAUUACUGGGCGUAAAGAGCUCGUAGGUGGUUUGUCGCGUCGUCUGUGAAAUUCCGGGGCUUAACUCCGGGCGUGCAGGCGAUACGGGCAUAACUUGAGUACUGUAGGGGAGACUGGAAUUCCUGGUGUAGCGGUGAAAUGCGCAGAUAUCAGGAGGAACACCGGUGGAGAAGGCGGGUUUCUGGGCAGUAAUUGACGCUGUGGAGCGAAAGCGUGGGUAGCGAACAGGAUGAGAUAACCGGGUUGUCCAUGCCGUAAACGGUGGGCGCUAGGUGUAGGGGUCUGCCACGCCUUCUGUCCCGUGGCUACCGCAUCAAGCGCCCCGCCUGGGGAGUACGGCCGCAAGGCUAAAACUCAAAUGAAUUGACGGGG